UGGUGGGGGGCAGGUUAAACCGGAUUUUGAACAUUAAACAGCAGUUCUUAAAUGUGAUCAGGUUGUCCCAACUUAAAAGUCUGUACUUAUGGAGGACUGAACAGUGAUGGUGUGAUUUAGGUUUUUUGUGAAGUAUUUUGAGAGCCUGUUUGUAAAGAGACAUGACUGGUUUAAGGGUAGUGGAGUUGGCAGUAGACCAGGUGGGUAAGCAGUAGUUAAUGUGAGAUCAAAUCAGCGAGAACAUGUACAUUUUAGCAGCCUCGGUGGACAUGUGAUUUCUAAGAUGCCUAAAGUUGGCCAAGGUGAAUUUUUGCAUAUUUUUUUAACAUGUUUUUUAAAAGUAAGUUGAUUAUCAAUCAAGAUACCAAGAUAUUUGUAUUCCUUCACAAUCUUGAUUCUUUGAUCAGAAAUAAACACAUCGGGUUCAGUGUGAGACUUGCUGGUUUUAGAAAAAAACAUAGCAACGGUUUUGGAAUUGUUGAGCUGAAGACAACAUUUGUUUAACCAGUCAGACACAUCAACCAUGACCUUUGUAAGCCUAGCAGCGACCUCUACAUUAUUCUUACCCCACCCAAAGAUCACAGUGUCGUGUGCGUACAUCAGAACCUCACAGUCUUGGCAUAAGGAUGGUAAAUCGUUAAUAUAAAGACUGAAAAGAAUUGGACCCAGGAUUGAACCUUGAGGAAUACCUGUAGACAGAUUUUUGAAGUCGGAUAAUAUAUUGUUUAUUUUAACACACACUGAGUUCGAGUUGAUAAGUAUGAUUUGAACCAGCUGGAUGCAGAAGAAGAGAAGUUAAACUGAUCAAACUUAGACUAAAGUAUGUUGUGAUUGACCGUGUCAAACGCUUUCCGAAGAUCUAGAAAUACUGCACCCACAACUCUUCCUCUAUCCAUAAGGGACUUGACCAUGUGGGGUGUGGGGAUAGCUAGUGUGAGCGAACCGCUUUGAUGUGUGUUGAUGUAAUGUGUAAUGUGUGUGAGUUUGUCUUCAAAGAGCCUUACAGACACAUGUACACUCACACACAUUACACACAGGUAACCAAGGGAACCACUGUCAUAUGUGUUGAUGUAAUGUGUGAAUGAAGAUGAUUCUAGUGUGAGUUUGUCUCCAUUGAGCCUCAUUAAUGAUCUCAUCUCUGUUUCUGGUUUCUUUAGGUCUGCAGGCUGGUCAGAAGGCUGUGGGGGAGGAGAUGGAGAUGGGGAUAACUGCUGAAGAGAGGAAGAGGAUGGAGGAAUCGGUCCAGUCUCUGGCUUUGCUUGCAUGGCAGAGGGAGAAAAACAAACAACUGGAGGAGGAAAAUAUUAAACUUUUGGAAGAGAGAAAAGAGAGACUGGUGGAGAUGGAGAAGACAAAACAACAACUAGAGGAGAAGAACAAAGAGACGGAGGAAACAAAACAACAACUAGAGGAGAAGAACAAAGAGAUAGAGAAGACAAAACAACAACUAGAGGAGAAGAACAAAGAGAUGGAGAAGACAAAACAACAACUAGAGGACAAGAACAAGGAGAUAGAGAAGACAAAACAACAACUAGAGGAGAAGAACAAA
Clupea harengus (Atlantic herring) is the source of this 1549-nucleotide long non-coding RNA. NCBI's taxonomy places the organism in Eukaryota, Metazoa, Chordata, Actinopteri, Clupeiformes, Clupeidae. The record is from Ensembl.